RNAcentral lists this small RNA (2645 nucleotides) under Pan troglodytes (chimpanzee). Its description in RNAcentral is "retained intron". Lineage: Eukaryota; Metazoa; Chordata; Mammalia; Primates; Hominidae. The record is from RNAcentral.
GUCAGAGCACCAUAACAUGGUGUGGGAAGUGAAGACAAAUCAGAUGCCUAAUGCAGUACAGAAACUCCUGUUGGUGAUGGACAAGAGAGCCUCAGGAAUGAAUGACUCAUUGGAGUUGCUGCAGUGUAAUGAGAAUUUGCCAUCUUCACCUGGAUAUAACUCCUGUGAUGAACACAUGGAGCUUGAUGACCUUCCUGAACUUCAGGCAGUUCAAAGUGAUCCUACCCAAUCUGGCAUGUACCAGCUGAGUUCAGAUGUUUCACAUCAAGAAUACCCAAGAUCAUCUUGGAACCAAAAUACCUCAGACAUACCAGAAACUACUUACCGUGAAAAUGAGGUGGACUGGCUAACAGAAUUGGCAAAUAUCGCGACCAGUCCACAAAGUCCACUGAUGCAGUGCUCAUUUUACAAUAGAUCAUCUCCUGUACACAUCAUAGCCACUAGCAAAAGUUUACAUUCCUAUGCACGCCCUCCACCAGUGUCCUCUUCUUCGAAGAGUGAACCAGCCUUCCCUCAUCACCAUUGGAAGGAGGAAACACCAGUAAGACAUGAAAGGGCAAAUAGUGAGUCAGAAUCUGGCAUUUUCUGCAUGUCCUCCCUGUCAGAUGAUGAUGAUUUGGGAUGGUGCAAUUCCUGGCCUUCAACUGUCUGGCACUGUUUUUUGAAAGGCACACGACUGUGCUUUCAUAAGGGAAGCAAUAAGGAAUGGCAAGAUGUUGAAGAUUUUGCUAGAGCUGAAGGCUGUGAUAAUGAGGAAGAUCUUCAAAUGGGCAUUCACAAGGGCUAUGGUUCUGAUGGUCUAAAGUUGUUAUCACAUGAAGAAAGUGUAUCAUUUGGCGAGUCUGUACUGAAGUUGACUUUUGAUCCUGGUACAGUAGAAGAUGGUUUACUUACCGUAGAGUGUAAGCUGGACCACCCUUUCUAUGUUAAAAAUAAAGGUUGGUCAUCAUUUUAUCCAAGCUUGACUGUGGUACAGCAUGGCAUUCCAUGUUGUGAAGUUCAUAUUGGCGAUGUAUGUCUACCUCCUGGACACCCCGAUGCCAUUAAUUUUGAUGAUUCAGGUGUUUUUGAUACAUUUAAAAGCUAUGACUUCACACCUAUGGAUUCUUCUGCAGUUUAUGUGUUAAGUAGUAUGGCUCGCCAGCGUCGUGCAUCUUUGUCUUGUGGAGGACCUGGUGGUCAAGACUUUGCAAGAUCUGGAUUCAGUAAAAACUGUGGCUCACCUGGAUCAUCACAGCUCUCUUCCAAUUCUUUGUAUGCUAAAGCUGUCAAAAACCACAGCUCAGGGACUGUGAGUGCCACUUCUCCUAAUAAGUGCAAAAGACCAAUGAAUGCCUUCAUGCUUUUUGCCAAAAAAUACAGAGUUGAAUAUACUCAGAUGUAUCCAGGGAAAGAUAACAGAGCCAUAAGUGUGAUCCUUGGUGACAGGUGGAAGAAAAUGAAGAAUGAAGAGAGAAGAAUGUACACAUUAGAAGCAAAGGCUUUGGCUGAAGAACAGAAACGUUUAAAUCCUGACUGUUGGAAGAGGAAAAGAACCAAUUCAGUAUGUUUCAAUAAAUAGUGUUUAAAAUUAUCUUGCCUUAUCCGUGCAGGUGUACUGGCAUGUUGGAGCAGUUGUUACAACCUUUAAGAGGUUGUGUUGAUGCUGUCUCUAGCAUUUUUAUACUUCAAAACCUAAUAAUGUUAUCACAUCAUCAUAUAAAGACUGCCUUUCCUCAAGUGUCAUUUACUCUCUUAGCAUGGCAAGUCGAAAUCUCAGGCAAACUUCAAAAGAAUGUUUGUUCUAAACAUUGAGUUGGAAAAAUAAUUUUGGAAUGCAGUGUUUCUAGUUGGGUUGAAAGAUAAGCAUUAUUAAUCCAUUAAUAUCACAGUAGAAAAUUUCUCUAAUAAUUUUUGGAUUGUCUCAACAGCUUUUUUUCCUUAAUUGGUGAGGGACCAAUAAGGCUGGAGGUGUGGGGGUAUGUUAGCUGUCAUUCAUGGGGACUUGUGCCAUUGGCACAGAAUUUCUAGAUUGAAAAAUUUCAAGGAGGAGAAGAAAUAGGCCCAGGAAUGGUGGCAAACAAGUCUGUAUGAUAAGCUAUCUUGGAUAGACUUGUUUCUUAUAACUUUUCCAUUACUAAACUAGCAUCUUUUAGGUUCAGCGUUUUUAGAUUAAUUGCAAAAAAAUUACAUGUGAUAUAGUGGGGUCAAUUUGAAGUAUCAUUAAAAAUGAAGGGAAGAUAUCAAUAUUUUUAUAGUAGGAGGGCUGGCCAAAGAUGUUUUAAAUUCAUUGUGUACAUGUGCCUUUUUCUUAGUAAAAUGCAGGUCACAUCUGUUUAAAUUUUUCACAAUUUCUUUAAAAAUAGUGGUCAGUCAGUAGUCAGAUGAGAGGGUGGCUGAACUGAGUUUUGGCAGUUCUUGGUUAAUUUAGAAUUUCAUGUGUUCGGACUUUUCCUGUAUCCCUUUUCUGUUCAUCCUAGUCAAUGUCUUAUCAUUGCAUACAUUUUCUGGAUGCUUGAGCCAUCAGAUAUCAGCUAGCUUUUUAAAAUCACCUUUAAGAAAGCAGUAUUUUCUAAUAGUAAAUUUAUAAACAUCUUAUACAUCUUAGCUUUCAUAUAUAGGAUUACUAUGCAUUGAUUUGUAAACAUUCACUGAGUUUAAUUUUA